This is a non-coding RNA of Bordetella bronchialis, 391 nucleotides long. The record is from Rfam. NCBI's taxonomy places the organism in Bacteria, Pseudomonadati, Pseudomonadota, Betaproteobacteria, Burkholderiales, Alcaligenaceae.
AUAGAUUUUCAAGCGUUGUGAUCGUUCGGUUGUGUCGAGUAAGUAGUUCGCCAUCAUUGUCCAUUUACUCCUUGAUCGUCUCUAUUUCGGACGUGCGUCCGUAUCUCAUCAAGGAUUUCUAUAUGGAAACCGGUAUCGUUAAGUGGUUCAACGCUGAGAAGGGUUUUGGCUUCAUCAUGCCUGAGAGCGGCGGCAAGGAUCUGUUCGCUCACUUCUCCGAGAUUCAGGGCGGCGGAUACAAAUCGCUCGAAGAAAAUCAGCGUGUAAGCUUCAUCGCUGGGCAGGGCGCCAAAGGCCCGCAAGCCACGAAGAUUACGCCCCUGUAAGUGCCGAUGACCGACUAGUUCGGGUAUAUGGUGCGGAAAAGGCCCUCCUUGGAGGGCUUUUUUGC